CACGACGUGCGCGUGCCCGGCCGCCACGAGGGCCAGCAGGCCGUUGACCUGGGCCUGCGUGAGGCGCUGGCGCGUGUGCGGCACGCUCUUGUCGGCGGGCUCCUCGGCAUAGAGGUAGGCGACGAGGUCCGCCGUCCGGUAGGGUGCGCCGUUGAGGUUGGUGUAGGCGCCCGUGCUGCCCGCCGCCAGCCGGUGCUCGUCGAUCACGAGCAGCGCCUCGCCGUCGUCGACGACGCCGCGUGCCACUUGGAGCACGCGCGCUCGGCGGUCCGUCGCCUCGCGCACGACCGUCGGCCGGCCGUCGCCUCGCGCCUCUCGGGCGCGAUCGUUUUCCAGUGCGCCCUCGGUCUCGCCCUCACGACCGGCACCAUAUUCCUCUGCCUGUUCGUCGUCGUCGUCGUCCCCAUCAUCUCCAUAAGGGCCAACGCGAUCGAGGUCAUCGAGAUCAUCCAUGUCAUUCACGUCACCAAGACCGUCAAGAUCAUCCAUGUCAUCCGUGUCAUCGACAAACGGAUCGUCGCCGAAUCGUCUGCCUUCUCCAGUGCGUCGGUAAGGCUCGCGCGCGAGGUCGUCGUCGUCCAUGCCGCCACUGCUCCGGCGGCGGCGGCGGCCGGGGGCAACGCGCAGGCUGCGGUCGAGGGCGCCGCCGUCGUCACGGUAGUCGUCGGUGCGAUCGCGUACCUCGGCCCAGUCCCGCGGGCGGCGGCCGCCGUCGAGCAUGAGCGAGUCAAACUGGUCGAUGAGCCGCUGGGCUUCUUGCUCGGCGCCCGGAUACUCGCUGGCCGACAUGGCUGCCCCGGUGCGCAAGAAGAAGUCAGCAGGCCGAUUGUUUGAAAAAAAUGAAAGAAAAAAAAAGGGAAACAAAAGGGGGAGCCGCCGCCUUGCAACGAAAGAGGCAAGCCGAAAUCUAAAGCGAGAAAAAGGCAAAAAUAAAAGAAAGACUACAACGGAAAAAAUACCUGGUGCUUUUUUUUUCUUGCCUCUU
This 985-nucleotide long non-coding RNA is filed under the name Pandoravirus dulcis. RNAcentral's name for it is "putative ncRNA". The record is from RNAcentral.